Long non-coding RNA from Sebastes umbrosus (honeycomb rockfish), 708 nucleotides. RefSeq lists it as uncharacterized. The transcript is spliced from 3 exons. The record is from RefSeq and is a predicted model, not a curated record. Lineage: Eukaryota; Metazoa; Chordata; Actinopteri; Perciformes; Sebastidae.
GGAGGGGAGAACAGAGCAAAGGAAAGAUUGGAUGAAGAGGGGGAACACAUGAGGUUGAAUCAAAGUCAUUGAGGAAUGGGUGAAGGAGUGGGAGUGGGCAGAGAGAGGUGACAGGUUAGGGACGCAGCAGCCUGAGGCUAGUCAGCUGGAGCAGCGCCCGGGGGUGGAUGUGCUGGAGGAGGUUGUGAUCCAAGUACAGACGCAGCAGUGAGGUCAGGCCAGAGAAGGAAGGCUACUUAGCUGGCAGGGUCCCAGCUGCUGACAGAUCUACCACGUGACGAUGUCAGCACAUGGAAAUAUGGAUCCUAUUAUCACACAAUGGCAAAUAUAUCAGCAUCUGCCGGCGAGACGAAGGGAACAAUUGCUCGUUGAGUAAUAUCACUUCCCCACGGACUGCUAACUCUGCCCUUAGGUUGCUGCUAAAAUGCCCAGUGUGUUUCCUGUCACCGAGCAGCGAAAAGAAUGAUGGCACAUAAAUUAUGCAUUAGCUGUACAGAAAUUAGAAAAAUGUGAACAGAAUCAUGUAAACUGUUGUAUUAAUUUGCAUACUGGUUUCACAGAUGAAAUGUUGAAUUAAUCCUUUUAUUAUUCCAUUUUAAUCAACAGUAUGACUGCAAGAUUUAGGCAUAUUUAUCAAUGUAGGGUCCUCUCUUAAUUGCAAUAAACUGUUUUCCAAAUGUUAUAUAUCUUAAUAAUCCCUGCAUUAAA